GCCUGGCAUGGUGGCAUGCACCUGUAGUCCUAGCUACUCGGGAGGCUGAGGCAGGAGAAUCACUUAGCCCCAGAGUUCUGGGCUGUAGUGCACUAUGUCAAUCAGGUGUCUGCACUAAGUUGCAUGGCAAUAUAGUGACCUCCAAGGAGUGACGGACAAUCAGGUUGCCUAAGGAGGGGUGAACUGGCCCAGGUAGGAAAUAGAGAAGGUCAAAACUUCAGUGCUGAUCAGUGGUGGGAUUAGGCCUGCAAAUAGCCACUGCACUCCAGCCUGGGCAACAUGGCAAGACCCUGUCUCUU
This is a non-coding RNA of Gorilla gorilla gorilla (western lowland gorilla), 299 nucleotides long. It matches the Rfam family "Metazoan signal recognition particle RNA". From Rfam's summary of the family: The signal recognition particle (SRP) is a universally conserved ribonucleoprotein. The record is from Rfam. Lineage: Eukaryota; Metazoa; Chordata; Mammalia; Primates; Hominidae.